UUAAGGUUCAAACUUCAAGCUGAAGGUCAGAAAAGCAAAGCAGCUGGCCACUAGCUUCUUACUUCUACCUCAGGCUCAAUGGGCUGAUCCUGCUGCCUCUCCUCAGUGUGGCUGGAGAAUCCUGAGACUGAAUGAAUGCCUUCCUACACUCAAUGUGGCUGGAGAAUGAAUACUUCAUACUGAGACCUUGCUCCUGUCUUAUAUACGUCCCUAAUGCUGGGAUGAAAGGCGUGUGAUUCCCAAAAGCAGGGUGAAGGACCUGCCCAGUCUCUCAGUAAAUGUCUGCGGUGUGGAGGCUGCUUGCUGGGUUGUUGGACAUAGCAGAGCUCAAAGGACUUGGGAGUUAAAGCAAGGUGGCAAACCAGCAUGUCAGCAGAUCUAAGUCAGACACAGCCGCCUAUGGGACUGGUCACCACAGCCCGGGGGGAACCUUGGGUCCCCAGAAACCACAGGAACCUUGACUUCAGCCUUGCCAAGUUCAUUCCCGGCCUGAAGAGGACUCCAGAUCUCAUCAUAGAUGGUUGUGAGCCACCAUGUGGUUUCUGGGAAUUGAACUCAGG
This 560-nucleotide long non-coding RNA is filed under the name Cricetulus griseus (Chinese hamster). RNAcentral's name for it is "lncRNA (ENSCGRG00015034349.1)". The record is from RNAcentral. Lineage: Eukaryota; Metazoa; Chordata; Mammalia; Rodentia; Cricetidae.